GCCAAGUAGCCAACAACCAAAACCCCAGCCGCAGAACGGAAACGGAAACUUCUGUGCCCGCGCCCGUACACGGCUCUUGCCUCCAUGGCCUCCACGGCGGCGGCGGCAGCGGCGGCGCCGGUGGUGAUGGUGACGAACGACGACGGCAUCGACGCGCCGGGGCUCCGCUUCCUCGUCGACCAGCUCGUCGCCCAGGGGCGCUACCGCGUCCUCGUCUGCGCGCCCGACACAGACAGGUCGGGCGUUAGCCACUGCAUUACAUGGCGUUCUGCACUUCGCUGUAAACAUGUCAAUAUCAAUGGUGCUACAGCAUUUGGAGUUUCAGGAACUCCCGCUGACUGUGCCUCUUUGGGCAUCUCUGGGAAGCUCUUUGAUGGUUUGGUUCCUGAUUUGGUGCUUAGCGGAAUCAACAUUGGCAAUAAUUGUGGAUUACAUGUUGUAUAUUCUGGAACAGUUGCUGGUGCUAGGGAGGCAUUUAUAUAUGGGAUUCCUGCAUUAUCUAUGUCAUACAAUUGGGUUGCUGGUCAGAGCAGUGUUAAUGACCUCAAAGUGGCUGCAGAGGUUUGUAUCCCUCUGAUAAAUGCUGUCAUGCUCGAGAUCAAGAGUGGAACCUACCCUAAAGGAUCAUUCCUGAAUAUAGAUGUGCCAUCUGAUGCUGCACACCACAAGGGAUACAAAAUUACAAAGCAAGGAAAAUAUAUGGCCAGAAUUGGAUGGGAGCAAACAGUCUACCAAAAGCCUUCCGUAGAAAGUUACCAGACGGCAAGCAUGGUUAUUGACGGUGAAAAGGACAGAGAUAUAGACACUUCAUCGGCGAAUGACCUACUGUUUAAAAGAGUGAUAGUAAAGAGAAGUUAUGAUGAAGAGGAAGGGGAGGACAUGGACUACAAAUCCCUUGCAGAUGGAUAUAUUACUGUUACUCCUUUGGGUGCUCUCUCCCGCGCAGAAGCAGAUGUCAUACCCUACUACAAGGCUUGCUUGUCUCGCAUUUGAAGAUGUUCAUCUUCCUCAUCCCUCUAUGCAAGCAUGCUAUUUGGGAGGCUGGCCAAACUGAACCUACGGAUGUCAUCGCCUGUAAAUUGCGAAUAAAUCGAUCUGUGACAUUCUUGUUGACUUGACCCCUAUGCUGCAUUUGCCAUGUUAUGUAUUGCUGUGAUUAUCUUGGCAGCCUCGAACAACUCUAGCUAUUCGUAACCGUGGUUUUCAGUAUUAGUGGGAGACUGUUUCUUUUUUUGAAAUGACAGUUACCUUGCAUUCAUUAAAAAGAGAAGAGUUGUGGAAA
RNAcentral lists this ribosomal RNA (1282 nucleotides) under Triticum aestivum (bread wheat). RNAcentral describes it as "partial small subunit ribosomal RNA". The record is from RNAcentral. Lineage: Eukaryota; Viridiplantae; Streptophyta; Magnoliopsida; Poales; Poaceae.